ACAAAUCAAAAUAUAAGUGUAUCUUGGUGUCAUGAACUCAAACCUACGUAAUAAAGAUGUCAACCUGAAAAAAGAUGGUUUGUGCGAUACAUAUGUCCUUGAGGAGAUCGAUUACCAAUUUGCACCGAAACAUUGUCUUAGCCCCCUCAUGAAAUCACCUCAAGGAAAAGAAGGUGUGACAUUGAACAUGAUACACCUAUAUGAUAUGCCAUAUAUAUGAUACACAUUUGACCAUAAUAUAUUCCAACUUGCCUAUUCAUAUUCCC
This 266-nucleotide long non-coding RNA is filed under the name Setaria viridis. RNAcentral's name for it is "long non-coding RNA (SVIR_LNC001866)". The record is from RNAcentral. Lineage: Eukaryota; Viridiplantae; Streptophyta; Magnoliopsida; Poales; Poaceae.